AGUGGGAUAGCUGGUUCAAAUGGUGGUUCCAUUCCAAGUUUUCUGAGGAAUAUCCAUACUGCUUUCCAUAGUGGUUGCACCAAUUUUCAUCCCACCAGCAAU
Molecule: microRNA precursor, 102 nt
Filed under: Marmota monax (woodchuck)
Lineage: Eukaryota; Metazoa; Chordata; Mammalia; Rodentia; Sciuridae
Source: RNAcentral